Molecule: transfer RNA, 86 nt
Filed under: Brevundimonas bullata
Lineage: Bacteria; Pseudomonadati; Pseudomonadota; Alphaproteobacteria; Caulobacterales; Caulobacteraceae
Description: tRNA-Leu
Source: RNAcentral
GCAAGCCGUUGUUUUCCCUCACGGCGUCUCAGACUUAAAAUCUGCCGACUUCGGUCUUGCGGGUUCGACCCCCGCCGCUCGCACCA